UUUUUUAUGGUGUAAUAAACACAUAACAUUUUCAUUGUUAAAUUGAUAAAAUAAUAUCUAAAAAUA
RNAcentral lists this transfer RNA (66 nucleotides) under Ixodes tasmani (Tasmanian possum tick). Its description in RNAcentral is "tRNA-Glu". The record is from RNAcentral. Lineage: Eukaryota; Metazoa; Arthropoda; Arachnida; Ixodida; Ixodidae.